GAAACUCGAGCUAAUACCGCAUACCCCUUACGAGGGAAAGGCUUCGGCCGCUAUUGGAUGAGCCCGCGUCAGAUUAGCUUGUUGGUGGGGUAAUGGCCUACCAAGGCGACGAUCUGUAGCUGGUCUGAGAGGACGAUCAGCCACACUGGGACUGAGACACGGCCCAGACUCCUACGGGAGGCAGCAGUGGGGAAUAUUGGACAAUGGGGGAAACCCUGAUCCAGCAAUGCCGCGUGUGUGAAGAAGGCCUGCGGGUUGUAAAGCACUUUCAGUAGGGAAGAUAAUGACGGUACCUACAGAAGAAGCACCGGCUAACUCCGUGCCAGCAGCCGCGGUAAUACGGAGGGUGCGAGCGUUAAUCGGAAUUACUGGGCGUAAAGCGCACGUAGGUGGUUUGGUAAGUCGGAUGUGAAAUCCCCGGGCUUAACCUGGGCAUUGCAUUCGAUACUGCCUCACUAGAGUCUAGCAGAGGGAUGCGGAAUUCCGGGUGUAGCGGUGAAAUGCGUAGAGAUCCGGAGGAACAUCAGUGGCGAAGGCGGCAUCCUGGGCUAAGACUGACACUGAGGUGCGAAAGCGUGGGGAGCAAACAG
RNAcentral lists this ribosomal RNA (590 nucleotides) under uncultured bacterium. RNAcentral describes it as "bacterial SSU rRNA". It matches the Rfam family "Bacterial small subunit ribosomal RNA", at positions 153 to 775 of the family's 1533-position model. The record is from RNAcentral.